UUAAAGACUGUGAUGAGGAGGAGUAUAUAUACUCUGGAAACAAAGAAAGGGAAUGUUGAUGGAAAUUUCCCAUGAAGGAUAUAUAGAAGGUAGCCUCGGAGUUGUUAAUGGAAAUGUAAAGAGUAGAAUUAAACGGAGUCCCACUGUUAAAAGGGAAGUAGUAUCGGUAAUAGCUUUAUUAACCUGUACUAUAUUAAGUGUGUAUUUUUAUAUACAAAUCAAGGUGGUACCGCGGAGAUAUAUCCUUCGUCCUUAUU
RNAcentral lists this non-coding RNA (257 nucleotides) under Clostridium intestinale. RNAcentral describes it as "T-box sequence". It matches the Rfam family "T-box leader". Rfam says of the family: Uncharged tRNA acts as the effector for transcription antitermination of genes in the T-box leader family. T-boxes are found upstream of many aminoacyl-tRNA synthetase genes and some amino acid biosynthetic genes usually in Gram-positive bacteria. The anticodon of a specific tRNA base pairs to a specifier sequence within the T-box motif, and the NCCA acceptor tail of the tRNA base pairs to a conserved bulge in the T-box antiterminator hairpin. The record is from RNAcentral. Lineage: Bacteria; Bacillati; Bacillota; Clostridia; Eubacteriales; Clostridiaceae.